This 2312-nucleotide long non-coding RNA is filed under the name Malus domestica (apple). Its description in RNAcentral is "long non-coding RNA (MDOM_LNC018405)". The record is from RNAcentral. Lineage: Eukaryota; Viridiplantae; Streptophyta; Magnoliopsida; Rosales; Rosaceae.
AUGGAAGGCUGCGGCAAGGUGGGAAAUAGGGUUUUGGACGAAUUUCUGAAUAUGGAGAGGGUGGUCUUCGGCCAAGGGAGGUAAAACACAUAUAUAUAGGCAGCCAAACCCUAAAGAAAUCAGGUUAGACAAAUGGGCUAGGGUUGGUGCGGCUAGGGUUAGGAAAUCCACCAAAAACUAGGGUUUCUAGAACAUUAGGUGCGGCAUGGGCUUAGGGUAAGUAAUUAGAUUUUUUUCAUGUGAACAAGGCCUAGGUGCGGCUGAUUAAGUGGGCUAGGGUUAGGGUUAGGUGCGGCAUAGGUCCAAGAGGCAAAGAUGGGUCAUCCAAAAGCCCAAAGCCAAGAAUAGAAACUCUCGAAAAUGGAAACCUCCAAGAAUAGAAACUUCCAACUUUAGAAACUUUAGUUGCCAAUUUCGACUUCUUUGUUCUUUACUUUCAUUUCUUCAUUUCUUAAGCUCCCUCGACCUUCAAACUCGUCCAUUCCUUGUUCCAAGCAUGUACUUUUCAAUCCAAGCUCACUUUUGCUCUAAAAUGCUCCAUUUUGCCAUCUUUUAUGUCAUAUGCCCUUUGAACCUGAAAACACAUGAAAGUAGCUCAAAAGACUACUUUAACUAAGAAAACAUAACGAAAAUGCAUAAGAACUAGCUAACUAAGGCGCAUAAAUAUGCUCCUAUCAAAUUCCCCCACACUUAGCUUUUGCUAGUCCUCGAGCAAAACAAAGAAACAAAAGAAAAACAAAAUGAAACAAAACAAACAAAAACAACCUAAACCUUCCAACGUUUGCCUCAGGGAUUUCCAAUGCACAUGACAUAUUAAAAAUCAUCAUUCCCACAGAUUUUAGCCAUCUUUACACUUAAGCACACACUUAAUCAUAGUCACCACGUACUAGUUCACAUUUAACCAAUUAAAACAUGAUUUUGACUUUAGUAACAUGCCUUAGAGAAUUUGCUCAAUUCCUCACUAGAUAUGCACUCAAUUUUCACACAGAUUCUCUGACUACACACCCUAUACUAGUUAUAUGUGAGAAGAUUGAUGUAAAUAUGAAAACGAAUGCUCACAUAUGUUAUAACAAGGAAAGCUUUUUCUGAAUUAAUAAGCAUGCAUAUGAUCUCAUGAAAGGAAUGCUACUACUUAGACGCGAGAACCAGUGACACCAUAUGCUCAUACCAAUCCCAACCUCCACAAAUUGAAAUACACAACACUCAAGAUAGAAGUUAAGGGUUGUAACGGGGCUUGGGGUAUUGGCUAACAAAGAAAGGUGAAGGAUAAACAAACGUUCUUAAAACAAUAGUAAGCAAAGCAAUGAAAUUGACACUUAGAAUUCACUUUUGAAUGCAAAAAUCAACUUUUAAACUCAAAGGGGAAAUUCAAGCAACACUUAGGGUCAAAUUCAAUGUUUUGGACCCUUUCUUCAACAACCAACACCUUAGAGCUCAAUUUCAUGCUCUUUCAACUCUUUUUCACACUUUUCACAUUUUUUUUUCUUUUCUUUUUCUUUUCUACCCCAUGCCUCAAUUAAGACUUUGGCACACAAUACACAAGGCUCAUUUUCCCCCACACUUGUUUUCUGCACACCCUUGAUCAAAAGGAAUUCAUUUUAAGUCAUGCUUACUAUGCUUUAAGAACAAGGGUAUGGAUGGUCCUAAUCUAGGCUAGGUAAGGAUAACGUGGGUUAACAAACAAUAUAGGCUAAACAAGGCUCAACGGGGCUAAAACCUACAAAAACAAAUGUAUGGAAUGAAGGCUUUUUGGCUAUGGUGGUAACUACUAAACAACUUCAUCUUGAAUACGUGUUAUGCAAUUCAAUGAAAUGUUUUGAAUGAAAUUGGCAUGAGUUCUAGCAUUUGGAACUAAAGUGAUGAAACGCAUUCUAAGUAACAACCAAGGGAGAGGGUGGUCUUCGGCCAAGGGAGGUAAAACACAUAUAUAUAGGCAGCCAAACCCUAAAGAAAUCAGGUUAGACAAAUGGGCUAGGGUUUAGGUGCGGCUAGGGUUAGGAAAUCCACCAAAAACUAGGGUUUCUAGAACAUUAGGUGCGGCAUGGGCUUAGGGUAAGUAAUUAGAUUUUUUUCAUGUGAACAAGGCCUAGGUGCGGCUGAUUAAGUGGGCUAGGGUUAGGGUUAGGUGCGGCAUAGGUCCAAGAGGCAAAGAUGGGUCAUCCAAAAGCCCAAAGCCAAGAAUAGAAACUCUCGAAAAUGGAAACCUCCAAGAAUAGAAACUUCCAACUUUAGAAACUUUAGUUGCCAAUUUCGACUUCUUUGUUUUUUACUUUCAUUUCUUCAUUUCUUAAGCUCCCUCGACCUUCAAACUC